AUUUCUUUCGUUGUUUCUGGUUCUAUGAGACACUGUCUCGCUAUGAAACAUAUUCCAAUGGUGAAAUAAAAGCACACGAGAGCGAUUAGAUGAUGUUUCCAGUGACUCAUGACCAGUGAGUGAACGGCCGAGCUAAAUUCAGACUUAGAUCUGCUCUCCCGACCUCAAUGUCAUGACUGAACUCAUCCUAGCAGCAGCUUGCCAGCGCUGUGCCCACGCCGCUAGUGCCUCUCACUCGCCUGGCCCAAUUUACCAUCUUUCAAUAAUCUAAAUUAAAACUGGGGGCCACUGGCUUGGAUCUAAAAUUGUAAAAUGGGUUAUUGAACUGCCAGCCUGGAGCCCAGAGACCUCUCUUCUGUAUGAGCAAGGACAGAGGUUGACGCUAACGUUGGGCCUGCAGUAGCAUCUUUAGAACGCUAGCUGGUCGAUCAUGAUUGGCAUAGACAGGGAAGCGGGGAGUACGGGCCGGUCAUUCCAGGGUCCUAUGAUUUGACUCGGCAUUGUCCAGAGCACGAGGAAGCACAGCAGAAACAGGGCCCAAGACUCCCUUUUCUCGGAUGUGGAACCUGCUGUUUCAAACUGCAGGACUCAGACAAGAUACUCCAGACUAGAGCGGCCGGGAGCUUGGAGCUCAGCCUGUUCCAGGGAAGUCGGGCAAGCAUGAACUCUGCCCGUGGCUGGGACUCUCCUGACUCCAACGCCCUCUCAGUCACACCAGGGGUUCCAGAUUUUCCCUAUCUGCUGCCACACCCAACCUACCUGCUUGGGAUUUGCAUACUAGGCUGGCUCCAAACUCACAUGUGGCCAAGAUUGCCCUUGAACUCCUGACCCUCUCAAGUGUAAGGAUUAUGGGCGAGAGUCACCGCAUUCAGCUCAGUCGCCUGGUCUUGCUCAGUGAACAGCUGGAGCAAUUACACCUAUUGAAAGGAGCUCACCCUAAGUGGAAAAAGGAAGCCAGCGACUGUGCCUUCACCUGAUUGAGGAUUGCCAAGCAGGAAGCCAAAGGUGCAGAGGAGGAGGCCCAGGAACCUCAGUGGAGCCCAACAGUCACUGCAGGCCGCUCAUCCUCACACCUAUUGCAGAAUGAACAAGGAAAUUAAGCACAACGCCUGAAGCUCCAGCUCUUAUCUAUCCUGGGAAGAGCCAAAGCCCGUCUGAACCUGAGCGAAACUGGGCACAGUGGCUCCGUGGAACUUGUCUCCACCCUGCUCUCUCCGAGGAACUUCCAUCUCUCUCCAUCCUGCUCCCCCCACCUCCCACCCCUCUCGUUCCUUCUUCUUUUUUUGUGUGCCCAGUGCCCCAGGGUCCCAGCAUCUUGCCAUCCUUCAUCCCCUUUCGAGUUAACUGCAUCAUCUACUAAAUGGGUACAAAGAUGUGUAGCUGACAUGAUGACACUGGAUGAUAGGGUUGUUGAAAUGCUUACUGAAGUUAAAUGAAGUACGCAUGUACCAGGCAGGUAGUAGGUGUUCAAUAGAUCCACCACUUCACUCUCUAGAGAAGUUUGGCCUUCGUUGUCUCCCUUAGUCUGAGAGUGAUUUUGUGUUUUCUCAC
Molecule: long non-coding RNA, 1551 nt
Filed under: Mus musculus (house mouse)
Lineage: Eukaryota; Metazoa; Chordata; Mammalia; Rodentia; Muridae
Description: predicted gene, 46587
Source: RNAcentral